Molecule: unclassified non-coding RNA, 750 nt
Filed under: Hevea brasiliensis (rubber tree)
Lineage: Eukaryota; Viridiplantae; Streptophyta; Magnoliopsida; Malpighiales; Euphorbiaceae
Source: RNAcentral
GAGAAAUUCUGACCUGCUUUACUACUGCCGUAUUGCGCUCCAUAUACAUGCUCCCUGACAGGUUCAUAACCAGAUAAAGGUGGUGCUGCCGAGCGCUGAAUAACUGGCUGAGCCACAGGAUCCUGAAGUACUGGUUUGAGAGUUGGAUACAGACAUGGUGUAGGUCUAAACAUCUCUGUUAACUUCUCCACCUGCAUAAGAGUCAGCUCAGUCUUAAACUUGUGUGUCUUUUCAUCAUAGUUGUCUCUAAUUGCUUUCUUGAACACAUUCUCUGGUAGUGGAAUACAGUCCUUGUGAAUCCUAAAAGGAACCUGAGCAGGGAAUGCCCCACCGAAUGCCGCUGGUUGAAGUCUCAUUCCACCAGCAGAAGAUGCCUCAUAGACACCAUACAUGAGCUUAAGAUCGAAAUCAAAGAGGAAAAGCUUAAGACCAGGUUUGAUUCCCAUCACAAAGUGUUGUUUGCUUGCAGAAACACCCAUCACACGAUAUCUGAAACAAUCUUCUUUCGUUCUCGCAUUGCACAUGAAAAUUACUCCACCAAGACUAUUCAAAGUUUUUGCAUCCUUAUUUACCUCUCCCCGUCCUUCAUUUAGAUCAAGGCUCUUUUGAGUUUUUUCAUACUUAGUCAUCUCUCCACAUCUUUCACUCGUGUCCAGUUCAUUGUUUCCUUUAUUGAUAUUUUCAGACUCACUUGCAUCUUUUUCACCAACAUGAUUUCCUUUGUUGCCAUUUUUUGCCUUCUUGUGUUUG